UCUCUGUGUUCUCUGAUGUCUGUGUCGUCAACAUUUGAACAUUUUUGAGCGGUCCGCUCUUUCUGACUGUAAACAAAGCCGUUCUCCACCUCCUCUAACCUGAUUGGUUGUGAGGCAGACGCUGCUCCCCCGUGUCGUUCAGGAGCCCAAACAAAGUUAGCGUGCUACAAUAUCGGACAGUAGAAACCAACCAGAAAGUUCGGAAAAUUGUCUGAAUCCUCCUUUGGCCACGACUGCCGACACAAGCAAGAAAACACUCAAACAUAAACAGUCAGCAAGAAAACAGUCAGCAAGAAAACUGUCAACAAGAAAACAGUCAGCAAGAAAACAGUCAGCAAGAAAACAAUCAACACCAAACCAGUCAACAGGUCAGCAAGAAAACAGUCAACCAUAAACAGUCAACAAAAAACAGUCAACAAGAAAACAGUCAACAAGAAAACAGUCAGCAAGAAAACAGUCAACAAGAAAACAGUCAACCAUAAUCAGUCAACAAGAAAACAGUCAACAAAAAACAGUCAACAAGAAAACAGUCAACAAGAAAACAGUCAACCAUAAUCAGUCAACAAGAAAACAGUCAACAAAAAACAGUCAACAAG
Non-coding RNA from Xyrichtys novacula (pearly razorfish), 596 nucleotides. The record is from the annotation of a GenBank genome assembly. NCBI's taxonomy places the organism in Eukaryota, Metazoa, Chordata, Actinopteri, Labriformes, Labridae.